This is a long non-coding RNA of Syngnathus acus (greater pipefish), 2162 nucleotides long. RefSeq lists it as uncharacterized. The record is from RefSeq and is a predicted model, not a curated record. Lineage: Eukaryota; Metazoa; Chordata; Actinopteri; Syngnathiformes; Syngnathidae. The transcript is spliced from 2 exons.
AUCUCCGGAGCCGUUUGUAACGCCGCAGAUUAGUUUUAAACACGCUAGCAUGACACGACAAUUUAAGAAGCGCUUCUCUUCGUGGGUGGCAGAAAAAUAUCUCUGCCUUAUUGUCUCGCUAUUUCCUCUCCCUGUUGAACUUGUUUUCCGCCAAGUCUGGUGGCAGUCCGUAGAACACGUAUACAGUUUCUGUUUUGACACCGGUUCCAAAUUACACAUGUAAAUGAUUAAUCACCUGGUCCGGGCGAGGGCCGCUUAGCGUAGGUGGAGGUCCUUGUUCCGAAGAUGUUUCUGUGAUUACGUCCAAGUUCAGGACACUCUUCGCUGCCGGGUACGGUUGAAAGCGAUACCCGGUGAGGCCCGUGAGAUUAAGUUUUGAGCACCUGCCAUUUGGAUCCAAGUUUGUCCCUAUUAUUGGUGUGUCUGGGCCUCUGUGGCUUUUUGUUUAGUCUAAUCCCACACGAUUUAAAGCCGAGCUGGCCGCUCGUACCUUUAAGCCGGGCUCUUUGACACCCGAGGGGCCUGAGCGGUCCGAGGCACAACGGAGCUACUUUGGUGAAAUGCGAUUUGGCUAAUUGAUUCUGGAGUGGCUAGUUGGGAGCGCCCGUGGUGGUAAACUGAAACCGCCUCCAAUGAUCCCCUCCAAUGAUGCAAAAUCCUUGCCCAUGCUGUCGGGGAAACAAGCAGCAUUGGCCGCUUUCCCAUAUGAGGUUAGAAGCUCCGUUUCCCUUCUUCGCCCGGCAACAGCUGUUGAUUCAUCUGCACUUUGACUCAGGUAUGGAGCCAAUCUGAGGGCCAGGAGGGUUUUAACCCCAAUCUUCUCUCCUCCAUCUCGCAGCCUGGCACACAUGGGCCGAGCAGCUGCGCUUUCCAUUGAUGUGCCGGGCUGCCUGGAUAUGGCUGCCUGGCUGGAGGGAGAUAGAUUGGAGGGGAAAUGGCUUAAUUGUCCUCACUCUCACUGCUGGAAUGCAAAUAGCCCUCCGCUGCUAAGCCUCCUCGGCGAGGAAAACCCCACGCCGAGAUUUCGUUUUUCUUAGUUUGAUCAGGCGCUUCAAUUAUACUCGGCUUUAAAAUGUAUUCAAAAGGAGAAGAAUGACAUGUAUAAUUUCACUUUGGCAUGCAGCACAAUUGCAUUUGAUUUUUGACAUCGGUUUGUUUGCAAGCAUUUGUUCAGGUAAGUAUUUUAUUGACCUUGCUACCAUGCUAAUUGAAUCAUUUAAAUACCGUUUUUACUAUUUUAGUAUCUAGCUAGGCACAGUGUUAAAGUUGCAGCUUCAUGUUAAAGUUGAUAUUAUUGGGAAUGAAACUAUACUGCUGUAUUUUAAUGUUGAUCAUUAAGGCUGAAUUACCAGAACAUAAGCAACUCUAGUGAGGUAAAGCAGUUUACAAAAUCCUGCUAAAUCUAAAUCGACAGUUUAUUGUUGUAUAUUGUUGGAUAUUUAAAAUAACAAAUAUUCACAUUCAUUUUCAUGGAUUGUAUCGGUGAACUCAAUUACAUUUUUCAAAUUUAUUUUUCAGCAAGUGAAGCUGCUGUGAAAUUAAGAUCACACUCCAGUAAUGCACAUUACUGCCACCUACAGGACUGGAGUGGAGUUGUAUUUUCCAGCGCUUCUUCAAAGGAGUCAUGUUAAGGAUUGCUAAGCCUUGGAUAUUUUUUUUUCCCCCCCAUUGGCAUGCAAAAUCACCUUUUCAUAGCCCAAUAGGCUUCAGCAUUCAUCACUGGGAGGUCAAGCAGAUAGACAGGUAGCUCCUUCCUGCCCAUCAAUCUUGGGCCCCGAGCUGACGGGAGGCUGCGCCUUUCUCAAAACGGGCUUGCUCAGACUCAAACCGUCGCCUCGCCGAGAGGGCUGACGUGAUGUGUCAUUCAUUGGCGUCAUGUUUUCAGUGUGACGCUUCUCGAGAAAACGGUGACGUCAAAACAAAAAACGAAAUCCCCGGCCCAUCUUGGCCUCGGUCAUCUCGCCCUCCAGUGACAAACUCUUUAAUAUGACAAGGUUAAACACCUUGAAGCUGCAGCUAAAGGCGCACGUCCAGGUCAGGGGUCAAAAGAGCAAUUUAAAUAGCAGGCAGCUUGUUUAUGUUGUUGUGUCAUCUUGUUUAUGUUAUUGCGUCAUCUUGUUUCAUUCAAUGCAAAGCACAUUCGACUAAAUUAGUGAGUACUG